RNAcentral lists this ribosomal RNA (1278 nucleotides) under Triticum aestivum (bread wheat). RNAcentral describes it as "partial small subunit ribosomal RNA". Lineage: Eukaryota; Viridiplantae; Streptophyta; Magnoliopsida; Poales; Poaceae. The record is from RNAcentral.
AUGGCGCUGGGGACAACCGAGCCGCUCCUCCUCCAGCCCCCAGAGCAGCGCCGGCGUCCGCCGGGCUGGCUCGCGUGGGGGCUCCCCGCGGCGCUCCUGAUACUGCUGCUGCUGUCCGCCUCCGGCCGUCUCCGUCCGCCGCUUUUCCGCGUGCCGCCGCCGGAGACCGUCCCGCUGACCCUGCUCGCCGGCGCGCAGGAGAAGGGAGCACUGUGCUUGGACGGGACCCCGCCUGGGUACCACCUGCAGAGAGGCUCCGGCGACGGAUCCAACCGCUGGCUCAUCCAUCUAGAGGGUGGCGGCUGGUGCAGCACAACCAAGGACUGUUCCAACCGCAGAAUGUACGGGCUCGGUUCGUCCAACUUCAUGAAACCGAUGCGGUUCGCCGGUGCUGGGAUCCUCGGCAGUGAUCAGCUGCAAAAUCCUGAUUUCUACAACUGGAACAAAGUGUUUGUGCGGUAUUGUGAUGGGGCGUCGUUUUCGGGGGACGCGGAAGGUCGAGCACAGGAUGGAAGCACACUUCACUUUAGAGGAUUGCGCAUCUACCAAGCGGUUAUCGACGAACUCAUGGAAAAAGGACUUGCCAAUGCUACACAGGCCCUCCUUACAGGCUGUUCUGCUGGUGGCCUAGCCACGAUACUGCAUUGCGAUGAUUUCAGUGCACGGUUUUCUCGCGAUGUUUCAGUUAAAUGCCUUGCUGAUGCUGGGUUUUUUCUUGACGUAAUGGAUAUUUCUGGGAAAAGGUCCUUUUGGUCUGUCUAUGAUGGCGUUGUUCACCUGCAGAAUGUUAGAGAAGUGUUGCCCAAGGACUGCCUUGCCAACAAGGAGCCAACCGAGUGUUUCUUCCCCGCGGAGCUUAUUAAGAGCAUCAGGACUCCCAUGUUUAUUCUCAACUCUGCGUAUGAUUCAUGGCAGAUACGAAAUGUCCUUGUACCAGUUUCAUCGGCUCCUGAUAAGUCGUGGUCGAGUUGCAAGGAUAAUAUCCGGAACUGCAAUUCCACACAAAUCAAAGUCCUUGAUGGCUUUAGGAACGCAAUGCUGGGUGCAUUGAAUGUUGUCGAAGAUAAGGAGGACUGGGGAUUGUUCGUCGAUUCAUGCUUCACUCACUGCCAAUCCCUAUAUGGCAUCUCUUGGAACUCAGAAAUCUCCCCGAGGCUUGGAAAUAAGACCAUUGCAGAGGCCGCAGGAGAUUGGUACCAUGGAAGGAGCCAUGGAGUGAAAGAGAUAGACUGCGAGUAUCCAUGCAACCCAACAUGCAGUGGACAGUUGCCUCCAUAA